GCUGAGUGAGCGCGCGGGUGGCGCAAGAGGCAAUGGGCAGCCGGUGGAGACUGAGUGGAGAGCGGCGGUGGCAAGGUCGAGAGGUUGGCACCAGCGGCGAGUAGGCAAUUACCGUGACGGGCGAGCGGACGGGGCUUGUAAGUGUCACGAUUGCAUCACAAUUGGAAUAAAGUAAACAAUGCAUACUCGUGUGGCCAUUGACUGAUUUUGUGUGUUGUGUGCUUGUGUUAACAGCCAGCCAAAUCAAUCAGCCAAGGGCCAUUAUGUACGUGAGUGUGUUAGCUGUGGGUAUAUCUGAAGAUUAUUUCUCAACUCGGCAUGUGGGUAGAGACUAAAAAGACAAUGCCAUGGUAGCAUGGCAGACCUGGCAAGUGCUACGAACAUCAUGAUAUUCUUCCUUUUCUUAAUUCCUUGAUUUGAAAAAUAAUUUGCUCUGCGUGUAUAGGAACAUAGCAAUCGGGCAAACAACACUUUGGCAUCUUGAUCUAUCAAGGGAAAUAU
Molecule: long non-coding RNA, 501 nt
Filed under: Triticum aestivum (bread wheat)
Lineage: Eukaryota; Viridiplantae; Streptophyta; Magnoliopsida; Poales; Poaceae
Description: long non-coding RNA (TAES_LNC027474)
Source: RNAcentral